Molecule: ribosomal RNA, 832 nt
Filed under: uncultured Actinomycetes bacterium
Lineage: Bacteria; Bacillati; Actinomycetota; Actinomycetes
Description: bacterial SSU rRNA
Rfam family: Bacterial small subunit ribosomal RNA
Source: RNAcentral
CGCGGGAUUAGAGUUUGAUCCUGGCUCAGGACGAACGCUGGCGGCGUGCCUAACACAUGCAAGUCGAGCGGAAAGGCCUCCUUCGGGAGGUACUCGAGCGGCGAACGGGUGAGUAACACGUGGGCAACCAACCCCUCACAUCGGGAUACCCCGGGGAAACUCGGAUCAAUACCGGAUAAUGCGCGACGCUGUUGGGCGUCGCACCAAAGAUAGCUUCGGCCUUUGGUGAGGGACGGGCCCGCGGCCCAUUAGCUUGUUGGUGGGGUAACGGCCUACCAAGGCGACGAUGGGUAGCUGGUCUGAGAGGAUGAUCAGCCACACUGGGACUGAGAUACGGCCCAGACUCCUACGGGAGGCAGCAGUGGGGAAUAUUGCGCAAUGGGCGGAAGCCUGACGCAGCAACGCCGCGUGCGGGAGGAAGGCCUUCGGGUCGUAAACCGCUUUCAGGGGGGACGAAGCCACCUGGGUUAAUAGCCUAAGGGGUGACGGUACUCCCAGAAGAAGCCCCGGCUAACUACGUGCCAGCAGCCGCGGUAAUACGUAGGGGGCGAGCGUUGUCCGGAAUCAUUGGGCGUAAAGAGCGUGUAGGUGGCUUGGAAAGUCUUACGUGAAAGCCUGCGGCUCAACCGCAGAAGUGCGUGGGAAACUUCCUCGCUAGAGUCCGGAAGAGGAGAGCGGAAUUCCUGGUGUAGCGGUGGAAUGCGCAGAUAUCAGGAGGAACACCCGUGGCGAAGGCGGCUCUCUGGGACGGUACUGACACUGAGACGCGAAAGCGUGGGGAGCGAACAGGAUUAGAUACCCUGGUAGUCCACGCCGUAAACGAUGGGCGCUA